This 432-nucleotide unclassified non-coding RNA is filed under the name soil metagenome. RNAcentral's name for it is "partial contains 5.8S ribosomal RNA, internal transcribed spacer 2, and large subunit ribosomal RNA". The stretch from base 1 to 120 matches the Rfam family "5.8S ribosomal RNA", at positions 35 to 154 of the family's 154-position model. The record is from RNAcentral.
GAUGAAGAACGCAGCGAAAUGCGAUACGUAAUGUGAAUUGCAGAAUUCAGUGAAUCAUCGAAUCUUUGAACGCAUAUUGCGCUCUCUGGUAUUCCGGAGAGCAUGCUUGUUUGAGUAUCAGUAAACACCUCAACUUCCAUAUCUUUCUUGAAAUGGGAGUUGGACUUGAGUGAUCCCAACGCUUUUCCUCACCGAAAAGUGGCGGGUUACUUGAAAUGCAGGUGCAGCUGGACUUUUCUCUGAGCUAUAAGCAUAUCUAUUUAGUCUGCCUAAAAAACAGAUUAUUACCUUUGCUGCAGCUAACAUAAAGGAGAUUAGUUCUUGUGCUGACUGAUGCAGGAUUCACAAAGACGGCUUCGGCCGACUUUGUAAACUCGAUCUCAAAUCAAGUAAGACUACCCGCUGAACUUAAGCAUAUCAAUAAGCGGAGGA